RNAcentral lists this ribosomal RNA (422 nucleotides) under uncultured bacterium. RNAcentral's name for it is "bacterial SSU rRNA". It matches the Rfam family "Bacterial small subunit ribosomal RNA", at positions 355 to 774 of the family's 1533-position model. The record is from RNAcentral.
UAAGGAAUAUUGGUCAAUGGAGGCAACUCUGAACCAGCCAUGCCGCGUGCAGGAAGACGGCCCUCUGGGUUGUAAACUGCUUUUAUUCGGGAAUAAACCUAUCUACGUGUAGAUAGCUGAAUGUACCGAAGGAAUAAGGAUCGGCUAACUCCGUGCCAGCAGCCGCGGUAAUACGGAGGAUCCAAGCGUUAUCCGGAUUUAUUGGGUUUAAAGGGUGCGUAGGCGGCCUAUUAAGUCAGGGGUGAAAGACGGUAGCUCAACUAUCGCAGUGCCCUUGAUACUGAUGAGCUUGAAUGAACUAGAGGUAGGCGGAAUGUGACAAGUAGCGGUGAAAUGCAUAGAUAUGUCACAGAACACCGAUUGCGAAGGCAGCUUACUAUGGUUUUAUAGACGCUGAGGCACGAAAGCGUGGGGAACAAACA